Molecule: ribosomal RNA, 464 nt
Filed under: uncultured bacterium
Lineage: Bacteria
Description: partial 16S ribosomal RNA
Rfam family: Bacterial small subunit ribosomal RNA
Source: RNAcentral
CUACGGGAUGCAGCAGUAGGGAAUCUUCCACAAUGGGCGAAAGCCUGAUGGAGCAACGCCGCGUGAGUGAAGAAGGUUUUCGGAUCGUAAAACUCUGUUGUAAGGGAAGAACAAGUACAGUAGUAACUGGCUGUACCUUGACGGUACCUUAUUAGAAAGCCACGGCUAACUACGUGCCAGCAGCCGCGGUAAUACGUAGGUGGCAAGCGUUGUCCGGAAUUAUUGGGCGUAAAGCGCGCGCAGGCGGUCCUUUAAGUCUGAUGUGAAAGCCCACGGCUCAACCGUGGAGGGUCAUUGGAAACUGGGGGACUUGAGUGCAGAAGAGGAAAGUGGAAUUCCAAGUGUAGCGGUGAAAUGCGUAGAGAUUUGGAGGAACACCAGUGUCGAAGGCUACUUUCUAGUCUGAAACUGGCGCUGGAGCCCGAAAGCGUGUGGAACAAACAGGAUUAGAUACCCCCGUAGUC